This 464-nucleotide ribosomal RNA is filed under the name uncultured bacterium. Its description in RNAcentral is "bacterial SSU rRNA". It matches the Rfam family "Bacterial small subunit ribosomal RNA", at positions 32 to 524 of the family's 1533-position model. The record is from RNAcentral.
AAUCAACGCUGGCGGCGUGCCUAACACAUGCAAGUCGCACGAGAAAGGGGCUUCGGCCCUGAGUACAGUGGCGCACGGGUGAGUAACACGUGAAUCAUCUACCUCCGAGUGGGGAAUAACCUAGGGAAACCUGGGCUAAUACCGCAUAACACUUACGAGUCAAAGCAGCAAUGCGCUUGGAGAGGAGUUCGCGGCAGAUUAGCUAGUUGGUGGGGUAAUGGCCCACCAAGGCGAUGAUCUGUAUCCGGCCUGAGAGGGCGCACGGACACACUGGAACUGAAACACGGUCCAGACUCCUACGGGAGGCAGCAGUGGGGAAUUUUGCGCAAUGGGGGAAACCCUGACGCAGCAACGCCGCGUGGAGGAUGAAGUCCCUUGGGACGUAAACUCCUUUCGACUGGGAAGAUAAUGACGGUACCAGGAGAAGAAGCCCCGGCUAACUUCGUGCCAGCCGCCGCGGUAAC